RNAcentral lists this ribosomal RNA (484 nucleotides) under uncultured bacterium. RNAcentral's name for it is "bacterial SSU rRNA". It matches the Rfam family "Bacterial small subunit ribosomal RNA", at positions 28 to 511 of the family's 1533-position model. The record is from RNAcentral.
GACGAACGCUGGCGGCGUGCUUAACACAUGCAAGUCGAACGAGAAUCUGUGGAAAGAGGAUUCGUCCAAUUGAAGCAGAGGACAGUGGCGGACGGGUGAGUAACGCGUGAGGAACCUGCCUUUCAGAGGGGGACAACAGUUGGAAACGACUGCUAAUACCGCAUAACAUAUAGAUGUCGCAUGGCAUUUAUAUCAAAGAUUUAUCGCUGAAAGAUGGCCUCGCGUCUGAUUAGCUAGUUGGUGAGGUAACGGCCCACCAAGGCGACGAUCAGUAGCCGGACUGAGAGGUUGAACGGCCACAUUGGGACUGAGAUACGGCCCAGACUCCUACGGGAGGCAGCAGUGGGGAAUAUUGGGCAAUGGGGGAAACCCUGAUGCAGCGACGCCGCGUGAGCGAAGAAGUAUUUCGGUAUGUAAACUUCUUUUCUUAGUGACGAAGACAGUGACGGUAGCUAAGGAUAAGCAUCGGCUAACUACGUGCCAG